UCCCUGGUAGUCCAGUAGUUGGGACUCUGUGCUUCCACUUCAAGGGCAUGGGUUCAAUCCCUGGUCAGGGAA
This 72-nucleotide transfer RNA is filed under the name Bos taurus (domestic cattle). It matches the Rfam family "tRNA". From Rfam's summary of the family: Transfer RNA (tRNA) molecules are approximately 80 nucleotides in length. Their secondary structure includes four short double-helical elements and three loops (D, anti-codon, and T loops). Lineage: Eukaryota; Metazoa; Chordata; Mammalia; Artiodactyla; Bovidae. RNAcentral also lists the same sequence under 5 other names. The record is from Rfam by way of RNAcentral.